RNAcentral lists this ribosomal RNA (440 nucleotides) under uncultured bacterium. RNAcentral's name for it is "partial 16S ribosomal RNA". It matches the Rfam family "Bacterial small subunit ribosomal RNA", at positions 338 to 795 of the family's 1533-position model. The record is from RNAcentral.
CCUACGGGUGGCAGCAGUGGGGAAUAUUGCACAAUGGGGGAAACCCUGAUGCAGCGACGCCGCGUGAGUGAAGAAGUAUUUCGGUACGUAAAGCUCUAUCAGCAGGGAAGAAAAUGACGGUACCUGACUAAGACGCCCCGGCUAACUACGUGCCAGCAGCCGCGGUAAUACGUAGGGGGCAAGCGUUAUCCGGAUUUACUGGGUGUAAAGGGAGCGUAGAGGGCAGCGCAAGUCUGGAGUGAAAUCCCAUGGCUUAACCAUGGAACUGCUUUGGAAACUGUGCAGCUAGAGUGCAGGAGAGGUAAGCGGAAUUCCUGGUGUAGCGGUGAAAUUCGUAGAUAUUAGGAGGAACACCAGUGGCGAAGGCGGCUUACUGGACUGUAACUGACGUUGAGGCUCGAAAGCGUGGGGAGCAAACAGGAUUAGAUACCCCUGUAGUC